This is a long non-coding RNA of Humulus lupulus (European hop), 726 nucleotides long. RefSeq lists it as uncharacterized. The record is from RefSeq and is a predicted model, not a curated record. Lineage: Eukaryota; Viridiplantae; Streptophyta; Magnoliopsida; Rosales; Cannabaceae. The transcript has 3 exons.
GUUAUUAAUAGAUGAUUAAAAAAACACGGUUGAAAAUUUUUGGCGCCAUAUGAAAUAUACCUAGGCGCCAAAUGAAAAUUUUUUGGGUCUAAUUUCUCUCAGCCAAAAUUUAAUCCCUAAACCUAAGAUACCCAAACAAUUUCUCUCAGCCUCCAUUGCCGCCUCUCUGCCUCUCUUUCUUACACUUUGUUGCAAAGCUUAUUCUCCUCCAUUCACUCUCUCCCACACACUUAUCCUCUCUCACUCUCGUCUCGUCUUAUCUAUCUCUGCCUCACAUCGUCGGUACGAGCUUCCGGAGCACACAACGACGGUAUCGCAGGCUGUAUGUCACGCUGACUAUCUCAAGUUCUUCAACUUACCACGACUCGUAUUCUCCUCUGCUUACAUCUUUUUAAGGUACGAUACCCUGAUUAAAAUUACUUUCCCCUCUCCACCAUUCAGCCUCUUCAGUUCCCAUUUCUCUCUUCCUUUCCCUUUGUCUCCGCCAUGACUCUAUCUCACCAAUCUCUCUCCUCGACCCCUCUCUCAGUUGUCACUUUCUUUCCCCAGUCCUUCUCUCUUCUCGGCAAAGCCCUUCCCACCGCUAUUUAGAUGGUGGAGACAACUGACUUAACAUUAAUGUAGUUGCAGGACUAAUGAGAAUAAUUGCUAGGAUACAUAUGCUUGGGGCACUAAACGGUGUGAAGAUGGACUUGGCAAAUGUUGCUUCCCCUUUGCCUAUAGGUA